Molecule: ribosomal RNA, 1462 nt
Filed under: metagenome
Description: bacterial SSU rRNA
Rfam family: Bacterial small subunit ribosomal RNA
Source: RNAcentral
AGAGUUUGAUCCUGGCUCAGGAUGAACGCUGGCGGCGUGCCUAACACAUGCAAGUCGAGCGAUUUACUUCGGUAAAGAGCGGCGGACGGGUGAGUAACGCGUGGGUAACCUGCCCUAUACACACGGAUAACAUACCGAAAGGUAUGCUAAUACGAGAUGACAUAAGAGAUUCGCAUGGAUUUCUUAUCAAAGCUUUUGCGGUAUAGGAUGGACCCGCGUCUGAUUAGCUAGUUGGUAAGGUAACGGCUUACCAAGGCGACGAUCAGUAGCCGACCUGAGAGGGUGAUCGGCCACAUUGGAACUGAGACACGGUCCAAACUCCUACGGGAGGCAGCAGUGGGGAAUAUUGCACAAUGGGCGAAAGCCUGAUGCAGCAACGCCGCGUGAGCGAUGAAGGCCUUCGGGUCGUAAAGCUCUGUCCUCAAGGAAGAUAAUGACGGUACUUGAGGAGGAAGCCCCGGCUAACUACGUGCCAGCAGCCGCGGUAAUACGUAGGGGGCUAGCGUUAUCCGGAAUUACUGGGCGUAAAGGGUGCGUAGGUGGUUUCUUAAGUCAGAGGUGAAAGGCUACGGCUCAACCGUAGUAAGCCUUUGAAACUGAGAAACUUGAGUGCAGGAGAGGAGAGUAGAAUUCCUAGUGUAGCGGUGAAAUGCGUAGAUAUUAGGAGGAAUACCAGUUGCGAAGGCGGCUCUCUGGACUGUAACUGACACUGAGGCACGAAAGCGUGGGGAGCAAACAGGAUUAGAUACCCUGGUAGUCCACGCCGUAAACGAUGAGUACUAGCUGUCGGAGGUUACCCCCUUCGGUGGCGCAGCUAACGCAUUAAGUACUCCGCCUGGGAAGUACGCUCGCAAGGGUGAAACUCAAAGGAAUUGACGGGGACCCGCACAAGUAGCGGAGCAUGUGGUUUAAUUCGAAGCAACGCGAAGAACCUUACCUAAGCUUGACAUCCUUCUGACCUCUCCCUAAUCGGAGAUUUCCCUUCGGGGACAGAAGUGACAGGUGGUGCAUGGUUGUCGUCAGCUCGUGUCGUGAGAUGUUGGGUUAAGUCCCGCAACGAGCGCAACCCUUGCCUUUAGUUGCCAGCAUUAAGUUGGGCACUCUAGAGGGACUGCCAGGGAUAACCUGGAGGAAGGUGGGGAUGACGUCAAAUCAUCAUGCCCCUUAUGCUUAGGGCUACACACGUGCUACAAUGGGUGGUACAGAGGGCAGCCAAGUCGUGAGGCGGAGCUAAUCCCUUAAAGCCAUUCUCAGUUCGGAUUGUAGGCUGAAACUCGCCUACAUGAAGCUGGAGUUACUAGUAAUCGCAGAUCAGAAUGCUGCGGUGAAUGCGUUCCCGGGUCUUGUACACACCGCCCGUCACACCAUGGGAGUUGGGGGCGCCCGAAGCCGGUUAGCUAACCUUUUAGGAAGUGGCCGUCGAAGGUGAAACCAAUAACUGGGGUGAAGUCGUAACAAGGUA